UGGGCGAAACGCACAAAGGUGUGCGGCCGGGCUGUUAACCCGUGUGAGGUAGGUUCGAUCCCUACUCGUCCAGCCA
RNAcentral lists this transfer RNA (76 nucleotides) under Burkholderia gladioli. Its description in RNAcentral is "tRNA-Asn". It matches the Rfam family "tRNA". Rfam says of the family: Transfer RNA (tRNA) molecules are approximately 80 nucleotides in length. Their secondary structure includes four short double-helical elements and three loops (D, anti-codon, and T loops). Lineage: Bacteria; Pseudomonadati; Pseudomonadota; Betaproteobacteria; Burkholderiales; Burkholderiaceae. The record is from RNAcentral.